Molecule: ribosomal RNA, 538 nt
Filed under: Scirtothrips moneres
Lineage: Eukaryota; Metazoa; Arthropoda; Insecta; Thysanoptera; Thripidae
Description: eukaryotic LSU rRNA
Rfam family: Eukaryotic large subunit ribosomal RNA
Source: RNAcentral
CCUAAGUGGGUGGUAAACUCCAUCUAAGGCUAAAUACAACCACGAGACCGAUAGCACACAAGUACCGUGAGGGAAAGGUGAAAAGAACUUUGAAGAGAGAGUUCAAGAGUACGUGAAACUGAGGUGGUGUAAACGGACGAGAUCGAAAAGUCCGAAUGGGGAGAUUCAGGCCCAUCCGCGCCGGUGGCGGCGGGGUUCAGAUGGUGCGGUCGGCGUGGGGCUCUCGGGCUGCCGCGUUUGCUCCGUAUUCACUCGUCCCUGUCGCACUGUCUGGUGCGGUGGGCUGCACUUCUCCCCUAGUAGGACGUCGCGACCCGUUGGAAGGUUCCGGUCGAUGGCCCGUGGUGGAGCCCGUGGCGGAGCGGUUGGGCUUGCUCAUCCGUUGCUGUCCGCGGACCCGCGGUGACCUGGCCGGCGUCCGACGGUAUCGAAGCUUGGGAAGGGACCGCACAGAGGUUGCGUCCGAUGCCCGCAUCGGGCUGUACUCGGACAGGUCCGCACCCGGUCAGCGGCGCUACUGCUUUCGAUACUCGUCCGA